GUUAUACAGUAUGCAAAGGAACCUGAUUCUUCACGGUCACUUUCACGUGUGAGAAUCUGCACUUACCUCAAUGAAGUCAGUGGAGUUGCACUAUUUUUGAAGAAGUUCUCUUUCACAAAGAUGGAAAUGACUGAGAGCAUUAGUAUUCUGACGAAGAGAGGCUGUGACAAAGAGCAUGACUGCAGGGCCUCCUGACUCCUCUAUGAUGCUGCCAAUGAUGUAGAGGAGACUGGCUCCAAUUGCACCGUUUUCGAAAUAGCCCUAAGAUGGUACAGAGAGAACAGACAGAGAGGCAAUUCACAAACACAGGCAUAAUGUUUUUAGUUUCCCGGCAUUAGGUGAUCAUUUUGCCUGGAAGAAUGAUACCAGGAUUUGGAAACCUCAUGCAGGAUGUGCUGUGGUGCUUUAGUCAAGUAAAAGGAACUAUUGACAUAGGAGUCACAGAAG
Mauremys reevesii (Reeves's turtle) is the source of this 447-nucleotide long non-coding RNA. RefSeq lists it as uncharacterized. The transcript is spliced from 3 exons. The record is from RefSeq and is a predicted model, not a curated record. Lineage: Eukaryota; Metazoa; Chordata; Testudines; Geoemydidae.